RNAcentral lists this long non-coding RNA (18150 nucleotides) under Brassica napus (rape). RNAcentral's name for it is "long non-coding RNA (BNAP_LNC025515)". The record is from RNAcentral. Lineage: Eukaryota; Viridiplantae; Streptophyta; Magnoliopsida; Brassicales; Brassicaceae.
GACUUUAUGGAAGAAAGUUCAUGUGAUAUAUAGCUUCUUCGUAGUGAGAAAGAUUGUGGCACACAUUGUUACAUUCAUCUUCUAUUGUGUGGUCUUACCGGCUACGGUUCUUGUACCUGAAGUUACUGUACCUAAAUGGGGAGCGGUUUACAUUCCGUCCAUCAUUACUCUCCUCAACGCUGUCGGUACACCUAGGUAAAUAAAUAUCCCAAAGAGUUUCUUACGGCUCAAGUGACGUCUCGUUUAGCCUCUCAUUGUUUGUUACACGUAUCUUAUAGGUCACUCCAUCUCAUGGUAUUUUGGAUUCUGUUCGAGAAUGUGAUGUCUCUUCACAGAACAAAAGCUACUUUCAUCGGUUUACUCGAAGGAGGAAGAGUUAACGAGUGGAUUGUCACUGAGAAGCUCGGUGAUCUUAAGGCUAAGUCAGCAACCAAGGCUCCAAAGAAGCUUCGUUUUAGAUUUGGAGAUAGGUAAGCUUCUCCACGUGUCUUAUAGGUCACUGAAUCUUAUUUGCACUUUUGUUUCAUUCUAAUAACUUUUCUUUGGCAGAAUCCAUGUGUUGGAACUCGGUGUAGGAAUGUAUCUGUUUUCUAUCGGAUGCUAUGACGCGUUAUUUGGGAAGAAUCAUUAUUAUCUAUACCUUUUCGCGCAAGCAUUCGCCUUCUUCAUCGCUGGAUGUGGGCAGAUUGGGACAGUGGUGCCUAACUAUUGAAUGGAAAAUGGAUUGAUCGAGCUACAAACUGCUCGAGAAUAAGAUGAUGAUUUUAUAUUUUUUUCUUGGCUACUCUUUAAUUUCUUCCUGGUGUGAAUAGAGAGAAUUGAUGAUACGAUUGUUACAGAAGAUGGUGUGUGUAGUUGUGGAAGAUAUGGAUACCUAUAGUAAAGAAGAAUAUAUAUAUUUUCAAGGGGGGUUUUCAUAUUCCUCAAAGACAAUAGAUCAUUUCUUGCAAGACAAAAGCUUUUGAUUCCAAUUUCUUUGUAUCAAAUUAUUGUAUUGUACAAAUAUGGAGGUACAUGAUAAAGGAAGUCAUAGUUUCCGAUGCUCCGCCGCCUUUCAAUAAUGCCUGAGAUCUGGUUUCCGCCAUAGUUUCCGAUCGCUUCGCCACCGUUUCCGAGGAAAGAAUGUCUCUGAUACCACUGAUAAAAGAAGUCACUCCUUUAUGAUCGAUCUAAUGUUCUUGAAACACCAAAUCGUAGCUCUCGAGUAAUAGAUCUAUAAGAGAGAAAGAUCUAAAUCCUCAAAUAACAAUCCAUGAAUCGAUAUUAGAAUUCCAGAGGUUUUUAAGAAAGUUUUACAAAUGAUUUCUGAAUGAACUGAAUAGAGUACGCAGACUCUGUUUUAUCUACUCCAAAAGAUGAACUCCUCCGAUCAGCUGGCGCGAAGCCGUUGUAACAAACUCUUAACUUCUCCCUUCCUCCACUAGUUACUCAACACGUGUCUCUUACUUCUCCUGUAUCAGUACACGAUAAUCACAUUCUAUGAAAUAGCUUGCAACAUGCAGGAUUUGAAAGAAUUGUCAUCUUUUGCAUCUUUUAUUCAAACAAACGUUGCCUUUGUGGUCGCUACUUCUAUAAUGUUUGAAGGUUUUCUUUCGAAUGAGAAAGAAUGAUAAAUUGUUUUCUUUAUUGCAUAUAGUGGGCCAUAUAGUGGUAACUGAACGUUUAUAUUGUUUGGUUUCUUCAGUUCAGUUGAAACAUAGUUUCUAGAUGACCAAAUUUUUAUGGGUUUGGACUAAAAAAAAAUUACUAAACCACCAUACACAGAAUAAAACUGGAUCUACAAAAAAAUUGCAAAUUUGCAAUCAUAUCAAAAAUGAUAUUAGUGUAAGUCUUUUUAAUCUAGAUUGGACAUGUAACAAGGUUCAGAAAAGGAAAAAAACAAUUUGCAGGCUGCAGGCUGUGGGGUUCGAACCCACGCGCACUUAUGUGCAGAAGAACUUAAGUCUUCCCCCUUAACCACUCGGGCAAACCUGCUAGUUGCUAUACACUAACUUUUAUCAUCUACAUCCUCAUUUUAUGCCAAUGGCAUUUCCCUUCGGAGCCCAUAUGUUAGCUACGUUUAUAUUAUUUAACCCUUUCAGGGCCCAUUGGGUUUGGCUUACUAUGUUUUAUCGACGUUGCGCUAUCUGAAGAUCUCCAAUUGUACGAAUCCAAGAAAAUUUUGGUUUUUCCGACAAAAGCCAACAUAAAUAUCAUAUCCACCAUAUUAGCACUAAACACAAAGGGUCUAGCAAAGUUUCGUCUACCCGACGAUUAGGAAAAAGAUAACUAAACUGGUUAACUCGCAAACUCAAAGUUUUGAAAACCGAAUUACAUCAAAAGUCUAAAAAAGCUUAUGGAUACUCUCUUUUCUUCUUCAUCAGAUUUCAAGCAACUCCACUGUGUUUGGCCUUGGUGUGCGACUGCAAGCCCAUCUCCGAAGUAAACGUUCUGUUGCAGGAGCUGCACCCAAAUGCAUUUGCGGACUUUGGUGUCUGCUGCUGCUGCUGCUUCGACGACUCUCCAUUGCUUCCAGAGCUCUUUCCUCCCUUUGACGGAUGCGGAGUCGCAACGUGGACGUGUGGCUUCUUCGAUUCUGUUUUCACAACGUUUAAGAUUAUUAUAUCAAGACAUCUUUAUAACUCACAGUAAAGAAAGAACGAGGAUCAGAUAGAGUCACCUGAUUUCUGAGGAGUUACGAACUUAGCCUUCUUGUUUGAAGCAGUCUUCGAGGUGGUGGCUUCCGCAGGCCUCUUCUUGGCUUCUUCAACCUUUUUAUAAAACAAGAAAAUUAUAGUCAGAUUUGCGUUUGACACAUAAGUGAAAUUGCUGCAAAAAAGGCAAGAGAACAAAUAUAUACAAGUUUAGCAUCAACAAUCACAUAUAAAGAGAAUAUAAUGUACCUUCUUCUCAGGGGUCUCCUCAUCUGAUGAGUCAUCUUCCUCAUCGUCAGAUGAGUCUUCGUCAUCAUCGUCCUCUUCAACUUCAGCAGUAACCUUCUUUUCUUCCUGAAACAAAGUAGAGAUCGUAACAAUGAAGGGUGUAAAUGAUAUAGGUGACACACUACAGGCAGCAUAUUUAUUCACCAAACAAUAAAAGCAUCCCCUUUUCUCUAACUAGGAUACUAAACACAAGAGCUAAGCGUUCAUGUGUCAUCUUCAAGCGCAAGUUAAAUUCUACAAAGUGAUCACAUUAUUACAUAAACAAAAGUGUACCUCCUCAUCCUCAGAGUCGUCAUCAUCCUCAUCAUCAUCACUAUCGUCCUCCUCAUCAUCUUCCUCGGCCUUGGCAUCGUCAUUAGGCAACUGAAAGUUCACCUGCUUCACACCUGAUUUCGUAACAGCUGGCUCAGCAGGCUCAUCAUCAUCAGACUCAGUAAGACAGAACAAGAGAGUUAAGGAUAUCAAACAAGCAAAGCAAGUCCCAAAAGCAUAUUCAUCAAUAAAUUAUCAAAGGUUAAGCAGCGAUAAGGAUAUGAAUCAGAUUCAUGAGCAUCAACUCUGUAGCCAGAGAAGAAAACGCUCCCAUCCUUCCAACUAUGAGACAGCUCAAAACUCCUCUCCAGCACAAUCUCCGUGCAGAGCUGAGGGCACUUAUCGUGUGACAGCGUCCCAAUCACAAGCUUCUGGUCUCCGACUUUCAUGUAGAGCCUGACCGGCUCGUUUCCACCGUUCUUCUUCUCGUGCAGAGACUGUCGUCGUCGUCAUCAAGAUAGUCAUCUCUGGCUUCAUCUCACUGCAUCGUCUGAUCACGGGAAUCGCAGCCAUUCCUUCACCUGAAGAGAGAGAGUCACCACAAUAAGAAGAGCUUGAUUUCUCGAUUUGGAGACUAAUCGAGAUGAUCGAUCAAUUGAGGUUUCUAACCUAACGAGACGGCGUGAAACCAGACGAGCGAUCCCGGCGGGCGUACGGCGGAGGGAUGACCGAACCGUUCGUGCCACCGGCGGGAGUGUUCUAGGCCUCGGAGCCUGCGCCACCGCGUAUGGAGGUGAAGAAAUGGUGAAGCGCUGUAGGUUAAGGCUCUGUAUAAUCUGUAUACGAGCACUCCGAGCUCCAUCGCGCAUCCGCCACUCAGCGACGACGUCUGCUCUGCUCUAUUCAUUGAAGACUGCUUCUAGUACGACGCCGUAUUGUAAUCGGGCCGUUUAAAGCCCAUAAUAUUAGUAAAUUAUUUUCUAGCCUUCAACUUUGGCCCAACAAGGAUAAACGCUUCAAUGGUCAAACGCAUAAUCACGACUGUGUCAUGUGAGAGAAUAAAGUACAUGUUAUUCAUUACUUGUCCGAAUGAUCUUCAGAUUCUUCGAAAUGGUAGCCAGCAUAAUAUUCUGGACACCUAGAAUUUUGUUUAAAGAGUAAAAAAAAGUUAUAACAGUAAAAAAUUAAAUGAAACUAUCCUUUUGCCUUUUCUCAAAGAAGGUUGGGAAAAAUGUUAGCGGAAUAACUUUGAUAGCAAGUUUAGCUUCCCACGUGCCAUGUUGUUGCCUGCUGUUUGAGCCUUUGUCUAUGGUUUCAGAUGAAUCUGGAAUUUACAUUCGUCUAUCUAGUCCAUUUAAAAGUUAAAUAUUUAGCUAGAGAAAUUCUCUGAAAUGUCUUACUUUAUCGUCGCUGUAAAAAUUAUGACCAAAGUUGUAGUUCUCUUAUACUAUAUAAUCAGCAUCUUAGUCUUAUACGAUUGUUUGAUUGAUGGACGUAAGAGCAAACAAUUAAUGAAUAGAAUGUCAAAGAUGGCUAUAAUUUCGUUUAAAGCGGCAAAAGAAAGUAAUAGUAUAUGAUCAUCCACCUAAAAGUUAAACAUACAAAAAAUUCUGGACCUCGGAUCUAUCCCAUUACAUAUAUAUAAUCAGAAUUAGUAAUGAAAUUGAAGCAGGUGAGAAAAAGAGUGAUGAAGACUUGGUCUUGAAGACUAAGGUGCGGUGUCUCCUUCCCAUAUCGGAGCCAAAUUGCACACAUCAACUAAGUAGUUCAUAGACCUUAACCAUUUCCAAUGAUAGCAUUUUCGAGUCGUAUUAUGUAAUGCAAGCAAACAAAAUUAAAUUAUAAAAAGACGUAUUAAGAUUCCUUUUAUGUUUUUUUUUUUUAAUUUACUUACGGUGAUUUGAGUUUUUGAGGUUGAAUACGUAUUAAGAUAUUUAGAGGUUCUUUCGAUAAGAAUGAAAAAUAUCUCUAAUUCUUUGCACAUUAUGUAGCAAAUCAAAUUUACUAUUUUACCUAAUCAAAAUACAUCACAAUUCACAAUUCACAACAUUACUUUAUUACUUGUAUUCAAAGUUAAGUAUUCAAUCAUAAACUUAUGUUUUGAUGAGGAUCAGAUUUAUUACGUAAGAUUUGGUUUUAUGAUUUAUUAUAAGUUUGUAACAAGCGUAUGUUACUAUCUGCGAUACACACAACAUGCAACAUCAUGAUGAACGAUUAUAUUCCCAAAAUUUUACAUUAUUUACAUCUAUAGUAUAUAAGAAAAUACAUGAUAUCAUAUCGAGCUUCAUGCGUAUUAAGUAUAGGCCAUUAAAAAUUCAACUAAGAGGUUUCAUGAACUUCAUGUAAUCAUUGUAAAAAAAUUGUAUACGUGAUGUAAUAUAUAUAUACACAAAAUAUAUGUGCCGACAAUUAAAAGUCGAAAUAAGACCCUAAAAUAAAUGGAGAGAGGGGGAGUUUCAGUUCCAAAGUAGAUAGGAUAUCAAUUCUAUAUGAAGUAUGGACAUUGGAUCCCACCAAUUGUUCUGAAUUGUGUUUUCUACAAAACUUGAUUGAUUCUUUGAAUAUUUUCAUAUUUAUUAUAGCUUUUUGCAAACAUAUUUAUCAUAACAAAAGUAACAUGCCCAUUUUAUUUUGAAUAACUAACAAUAGAAAUACAUAUACAUACUUUUUUCUUUCGAAAAUUAAUAUAUAGUCUAUUUGUUAAUGUUUUGUUCCUGGAGUAGAGAUGAAAGGUCGAGUACACGUUAGUGAGUAGGAACCUUCAUAAAGAGAUACACUGAUAGUAGUUUCUUUUAGUUUUGUUUUGAGGUAUACGGUUUAGUUGAUGAAAAUAUACUCGACUGUGAAGAAAAGAAUGCUUUUUUUUUGGACAAUAAGAAAAGAAUGCUUAAGAAGUCUUUGCUAACCAAAAUCAAUUUACAGUUUUAUACAGAUGAUAUAUCAACCUCUUUUUAAUUUAUUUCGCUUUUACAGUUUUCACGUAAACAGCUUACGACGGGUAUAUAAGCGAAAUUAAACCAUUAAAUUCAAAAUCUAUUGGCUUAAGUUUUCUAACUUUUAUAUGGGACCAGUUGUGAGCACUGUGUAUAUGGGUAUAUUCCUGAGCAAUAAUGUAAUACGUAGGGUGACCAAUAAUAUAUAUUUACGAAUCUGUUGCUCCAAGUCUUUUUUUCUUAUAAUUCUGGUUAUUAUAUGCCAAAGCCAAACAGCUCCUCAGUGAAGGGUUCGAAGUUGUUCGUGGGGUAAUCUUGUAUUUAGUCUACCAUUUUUUGUUUGGUUAUUCCAUUUUAUCUAAUUAUCGGUCAUUAUUUUUUUCCAAAUCUAUUUUAUACGUGUGUGUCAUGAUAAAAAAAAAAUUAGAUGUUAUAUCACACUUACUAGAUAAUCAGUUCUCUGUAAAAACCCCGUAAAUUAUCAUUAAUUUUAGUAACAUGACUCAGAAUUAUUGAAAAUGAUGAAAAAUGAAAGGAAUGGUGACAAAUGUGAGUGAAAGAAGCAAAGUCCAUCUGUAAGAAGUAAGAACCCAUGUGUUAUUUGGUCCUUUUACAUUAUGUUUACUUGCAAGGCACUGCAUGUUACUUCCUGGCUGCAUGCAACAUAUGUAGUGCUAUUUUACUUCUCCAACUUUUGUUUUUAUUCAUAUUCCAUUUUUCAUUAUUAUAACUCUGCACACAAUUUUAUUGUUGUUUAAGUUACCAUGAUAAUAUAGAGAUAUAAUCAUACAUACUUGUUUCGCAUUCAAAGAAAUCAAAAGCCAAUGGCGAAUAUUAGUUUUUUUUUUUUUGAUCAAAUUUUUUUUUUUUGAUCAAAGGCGAAUAUUAGUUUCGUGUGUUAAAGAAUGGCAAGUAACAUAUUCAAAAUUAACAAAGAUGAUUGAGAUCUCGACAAAUUAUAUGAUUAUAGUUAUUAUGUAUAUUAGUUAACUCAAGUUUGUUUAUGAUAUCACUAAAUCUAUGAAUAUAUGUUAGAUAAUGGUCUCGGCAUGUGUUCUCCACAUGACAUGCCAACCAAAUACAGACUUUAAUUUGUCAACUUACUGACCUGAUAACUGAUUACAACACGAAAUACGCUAUAAGAAGUACAGGCAAAAAAAAAUCAAAAAUCAAAAUUCCUAACUAUUUAAAUUAUAAAUAGGUGUUUUGGUACUGGACCGACAGAAAAUGAAUCAUUCCGUAUGAAGUAUCUUCAUAAACUGAAAUGUUCGUUUUAGUGUUGUAAUGUCAGUGUUGGCUAAAGUAUCCGAAUAAAAUAUGACUAAUUUAACAAGUGUGAAAAGAUGAUUACUAAAACCACAGUGUUUUAUAAUUACAUAGAAUUGUCUAAUGCUAAUGCAAGGUGAUUACUAGCACUGAACGACCGUCUAGGUUCUAACAGUCAACCUCAGCCGUUGGGCAGUCCUUUUUAUCCAGCUGUGUGUUUCAUCUUACUACUUAUCACCGCUUAAAAUUAAUCGAGAUCCAUUUUACUUUUAAAAUAACAUUAUCUCGUUAAGUUCUUAAUUACUACUAUAUAGUAGUUUGCGAAGUAUAUGAAAUAGAAUGAUUGAUGGACGAAGUGGAAACGUGGGUCGAAGACUCGAAGUUUAUGAAAUAAUUGACUUUUCCUACUUUUACUUUAAAGAAUUGACUUUAAGCAAUGUUUUGAAUUUGUUAAUAUUUAUGAUAUUAAAUAUAAUAAGCUUAAUAUUUAUGAUAAUCAUUAAAUAUACUAAGCUUAAAAUUUUCAUAUAAACAUUUACAAACGGACCGUCGGUGCGCUAUAAAUCAGCAUCGCAAAUUAGCCAUAAAACAAAUGUGCUUUGUUAGAUAUCUUUGAGUGUUUUUCUGUGCAAAAUGUCUUAUUCAUUUUCUACACGGGAGCUUUUGGUCAAUUUCGACUGGUUAGCAACAUUCCAUAUCAUUUCCAAGAGGGGUGACCAUAUCUGUUCUGCCUCAAGUCUUGAAUUGUUCUUUGGUUUUAAACAAUUGUAAUAUUCUAGAGUAUGGUGUCAUUUUAUACGAUUACAAAACUAACACUAGUACUUUUAUAUCGAUAUGACUAACUUACCUUCAUAAUCCAGAUCAAAGUUGGAGAGCUCCUUCGUGGUUUAUAUUUGUUUUUUAUAGAAAUAAGUGAAUAUAUAUAAUAAUGUUACAUUGUUACAAAUGCGAUCAAAAUGCAUAUAUAAAAUAUUGUUACAUAUACUUUACUGGAUUUCGCAGACAAAAUUGGGAGUUCUAUAUCUGUUUCUCUACAUAUGGACCACUGCAUGAUUUCAAUAUCUUGUUCUAUAGAAUCGAUCAUUCGAUAAUCUUGAGAGAUUUUCAUUAUCCUGUAACGAGAUGAGGACAACGAUACGAGACAUAUUAUUUCAUCGAGAAACGAACCGAUAUAAUCACUUUACUAUUGGAAUCAACUGGUUAUACAAGUUAUUGGGGUAUAAAACUGAUAUACAUCAUGCGUUUACAAUGCAUGAUUUUCGUUUAGUUUUGAAUCACAUACAGUAAAUAGCAUUUGGCCUUCAAGUGUUAGCUCUGUAUUAAAUUACCAAAUAUGAUAUACUAGGCCGAACUCUUACGACUAAUGUAUAUGAUAUAUACAACAUUCAAAAUAUUGCUAGACUUUUUUGGGGUUAAAUAUUGCUAGAAGUUAGUCAACUGUCUAUGAAACUAAUCUAAAAUUAUUUAUUCGUUGAUUUCUUAAAAAAAAAAGAAAUUAAACAUUAGUCAGAGAAACAAAUAUUAACUAUAGCCCAGAUUAAUUUAAUCAGCGUUGUCUACCAAUUUGUUUUGACUGAGAUGGUCGUAUAUUUACGAACGCCUAGACGGCUAAAAUUUGGAACAUAUUCUACAUUUUUUUCUGGAGAAACAGGUUAAAUUAAAAUAACAUUUUGCUUAACUCAGACCUGGACAUCAUUAAUGUUUGUGACGUUCAAUAAUGUUUGGUAGUUAUAUAGAAAGAGCAAAUGGAUGGUUGAUGAAGCAAACAUUUAUUUGUGUACAAUAAAUUAUAAAUACAAACUACAGUAUAAAAUAAGCCAAAAAUUAAAAGUGGAACCAUACAAUACAAGGGCAAAGGCUUUAUAUAAAGACAUUCAUCUCUGUUUCAUUUUUCACACAUACACUGAUACAGACACACUGUCUCUUCUCUCUCUCUCUGUUUAUGUUCACAGAUCUCUCUCCUCUCCUCUUCCUUUCCAAAACGAUCUCCUCCUUCACCACCUUUCAUUAUAAUCUUUCCUCUCUUACCAAACCAUAAAACAAGAAAACAAACCUAAAAAACAAAAACUUAAUUCUCCUUUUUUUUCCGACAAUCUGAAUUUCUAUCAAGUAAAACUCUGUCUCUCUGAUUACUUACUUCAAAAGAAACUUCUUUAAAUUAUCACAUUGUACCCUAUCGCUUGUCUCACAAGAAAACCAGCCAAACAUAUUCCACAAUACGGAUCUAGGGUUCUUGCUUCCUCCUCUGACUUUCUCUAUCUCUUUUCGGAGUAAGAAGAAAUGGAGCUUGGAGAUUCAGCGGCGGUGAUUCCAGACUCGUUCAUGGGAUACAGAGACGACAUCACAAUGCAGAUGUCAAUGAUCUUGGACCAGAUUCGAGCUCCGUUGAUCGUCCCAGUCCUUAGGCUCGCGGUUUAUAUCUGCUUAACGAUGUCGGUGAUGCUAUUUGUGGAAAGGGUUUACAUGGGAAUAGUAAUCUCACUCGUGAAACUCUUUGGUCGGAAGCCAGAGAAACGUUUCAAAUGGGAACCGAUGAAAGACGACAUCGAGCUCGGAAACUCUGUUUAUCCUAUGGUUCUUGUUCAAAUCCCAAUGUACAAUGAACGAGAGGUACCAAAUUAAAUCGAAACUCUUGUCUCUUUUUCUUUUUUACUUUGCUUUGUUAUGAAUUAACACGAAUUAAAUUUGAAGAAAGCAAAAGAACCAAAAUGAUCGAGGCAAAUACCCAUUUAAGUUUAGUAUAUUAUUUUGAACAAAAAAAAAGUUUAGUAUAUUAUUAUUAUGUGAAUAAACAAUUUUACAAUUUCAAUAACUACUUCCGGCCAAAGAAUGCUGGUAUUCUACCGGUGUACAAAAAUUUAAGACACUUCUAGAAUUAACAGCUUUGUUUAUUAAUCUUGUUAUGUUGUUAAUGCAGGUUUAUCAGCUAUCUAUUGGAGCUGCUUGUGGGCUCUCGUGGCCGUCUGAUCGAAUCGUCAUUCAAGUUCUUGAUGAUUCCACUGACCCAACGAUCAAAGUAAGCUCAAGAACUGGUCUUUUGAUUCUUGAAAAAGAUCCAAUUUACGAGCUUCUUGUUUUUUUGUUUGAGCAGGAUCUAGUGGAGAUGGAGUGUAGUAGAUGGGCGAGUAAAGGAGUGAACAUAAAGUAUGAGAUCAGAGACAACAGAAACGGCUACAAAGCUGGAGCUCUGAAAGAAGGUAUGAAGAAGAGUUAUGUCAAAAGCUGCGAUUACGUUGCGAUCUUCGACGCUGAUUUUCAGCCUGAACCGGAUUAUCUCUGGAGAACCGUACCGUUCCUCCUCCAUAACCCUAAGCUUGCUCUCGUUCAAGCUCGCUGGAAAUUCGGUAAUUUUUUUAUAUUUUUGACUGUUUUACCUGGUUGACCCACUUUUAUUGUUGUUGUCACGUGAUUGGUAAGUGCUAAUAAUCAGUAUUCAGUGCUUAGCUAGAAAGUUUACACACGGUUUUGAGAUUCGUUUUUUUUUAUCUGAAUUACUACUCGCUUUUUAGGCUAAGUAAUGAUAAUUACAGAAUCAUUUGAUCAGUGAACAUUAACUAAUUACAUAUACUUUGUGUGUUAAUAAUGUUCUUCUUUUUUUUUGUUUAAUACUAGUAUUAAAUUAUGACUUUUCGAAUGGAGGACUAAUUGGAGACGGCAGAGAUGGCUCAUAUUAAAUUAAUACAUAUAAGUAGAUUUAAUUGUAAGUGGAAAAAAAUUAGAACCUAUGAACGUAUUAUAAGACAUCAUAAGCUAAUAGCACAUGAGUUGAUCACUGUUCUAAGAGAAUCUUAUUUUAUAGUAAUUUAAAAGCAUGGGGUUUAAUAAUUUAAUAAGAAAAUUAUGUUUACAUAAAGAAAGUUUUUGUUACAUUAACAGAAGUGUCGGUGGGUGUUUUAUACUUUUAUUGAUAGGUCCCAAUAUAACCUAACCUAGCGGAUCUUGAUGUCGACGUAUCGAUUUUGUUCGUGAUCUUCGUGCUCUAGCUUUAAAAUUUUAAAUGUGGAGCCACUUUCUUUUGCAAAUAGUUUUUAUUAGUACUAACAAAUUAUUUUUGAAUGAUCUAGAGGCAUAUUCCAUAUAAUAUAGGCAAUAUCCCUUCUAACAAAUCCCAUAUUAAAUAGAAGAAAACAUUUCGGGAAAUAUAAGAAAACAUCAAGGAAUAUAAAGUUUAAUAUUUUGUUGUCCUUUGUGUUAGGUAUGCCUGCAGUAGGAGUUGGUAAAUAUUUGGUUUGUGUGUCUGGCUUUUUGUUGAUUUUUGAUGAAAAAUAUGCAUUGUCCACACAUUUUCAACAGAGUGAUGUUUUUCCACAUUAGUCAAUAGAUUGUCCACCAGUGAAUCUAUAACUUCUGGCAUUCAAAAGCUGCAGCGUAUUUAGCUUUGAACGAUCUAGCCUUCAUAAAAAGAACACCCGAAUUUUGAAGUAAUUUCUUCGAAUAAAAAAUAAAUUUUGCAUGCAAACAUUCAUCGACAUAUUAAAAUUUAGAAAACCAAAAUAUAAAUAAUCAACCAGCACGAGUUAGUCUGGUCUGGUGGUAUACGGCUUGCGGCUGCAAGUACGGUCUCGGAUUCGACUCGCACUGGUCACCAGGGAAUUUACAUGCGGACUUGUUCUGGCGUCCGAGACCGAAGACCAUUGCCUGGCCAUGACCCACUUUCGGGUGUGCGUCCGCGCCGAUAAAAGUUCAGUCUCUAGUCUGGACCACUACGGUGGGGUCUGGACACUCGGUUAUCAAAAAAUAAAAAAUAAAUAAUAAAUAAUCAGAUUAGAACAGAGCUUAGUGUUUAGUGGCGUUGCUUCACUGGCACGUGGUCGUGUCCCAUAAUGAGUGCAGAGAACAUAUAGGGAAGGGGCUUGUUUUGUCAUUUAGUAAAUAUAGUAUUAGGUAGAUCAGUCAUUUUUGUUAGUAGAUACGCCACGUGUACUUGCCAGCGCCCUCUAUCUUCCAUGUGCAAUAUCUGGGUCCCACACUGGUCUCUUCUCUACUAGUCUCUGUCACUCUCAUCACUCACUUUUCUUUUUCAAGUAAAAUUUGUUUGUUUUUUUUACUUCCAGUACUAAUACAACCAAUUAUUGAAACUCGCUUUUAUUUUAUUAACGAUGCUUUUAGUCUCACGAGCUAUUUUAUUUUAGACAAUAAAAAUAGUAAUAAUAAAAAGAAAUCAUGUGAACUUGUGAAGUAGAUUGACAAAAUCUAACGAGUUGUUGAAAUCUAAUUGGGGAAGACCGGAAGAGUCUGAGCUGUCUAUAGUUUGUUUUUGAGCUGUCUAUAGUUUGAUAAUUGAAAAUAUUUAUUUCAAUGUCACCAACUAGUUUUUAAUGUCUUCAUCAAUGUCACAUUCAUUGAUUGUUUUGCUAUGAUUGUUUUGCUAUGCAUAUAUUAAUUGAAUUCCAUUAUUCAAAUUUGUUCCUUCUAAUUUUGCAGUAAAUUCGGAUGAAUGUUUGAUGACAAGAAUGCAAGAAAUGUCUCUGGAUUAUCAUUUUACGGUCGAACAAGAAGUUGGUUCUUCUACUUACGCCUUCUUCGGUUUCAACGGUACUUACUUUUUUCCUCUUCAUUAUACUUUCUCGUCUUAUUUCAGUUUCAUAACAUUUGCUUGCUUACUAUCAUUUUAGGGACUGCGGGAAUAUGGAGAAUAUCGGCAUUAAACGAAGCUGGUGGUUGGAAAGAUAGAACAACCGUAGAAGAUAUGGACCUGGCCGUUCGAGCUAGUCUCAAGGGUUGGAAAUUUUUGUACCUUGGUUCGUUGAAGGUAUACCUUGUCUCUCCAUUAUUUAACAAUGCGUAUGCGUCAAUUAGUGGUUGAUAUAUGAUUUUAAAAUAAUAUAGGUUAAAAACGAGUUGCCAAGUACAUUCAAGGCGUAUAGGUAUCAACAGCACAGGUGGUCAUGUGGUCCAGCAAAUCUUUUCAGGAAAAUGGCAUUCGAAAUCAUGACCAACAAGGUUUGUAACUCCUUCUUUCUCCCUCCACACUGAAUGAACCGGUUAAUUAACCAGUACUUACAUUCAACAUAUCAAACCUAAACCGGAAAGUUUCUCUAGUUUUGGUUGGUCUCCACAUUUAUUUAAGUUCUGCUUUAAAUUGGUUUUUCUUUCUUUUUGCCAGAACGUGACUUUAUGGAAGAAAGUUCAUGUGAUAUAUAGCUUCUUCGUAGUGAGAAAGAUUGUGGCACACAUUGUUACAUUCAUCUUCUAUUGUGUGGUCUUACCGGCUACGGUUCUUGUACCUGAAGUUACUGUACCUAAAUGGGGAGCGGUUUACAUUCCGUCCAUCAUUACUCUGCUCAACGCUGUCGGUACACCUAGGUAAAAAAAAUAUUCCAAAGAUUUUCUUACGGCUCAAGUGACGUCUCGUUUAGCCUCUCGUUGUUUGUUACACGUAUCUUAUAGGUCACUACAUCUCAUGGUAUUUUGGAUUCUGUUCGAGAAUGUGAUGUCUCUUCACAGAACAAAAGCUACCUUCAUCGGUUUACUCGAAGGAGGAAGAGUUAACGAGUGGAUUGUCACUGAGAAGCUCGGUGAUCUUAAGGCUAAGUCAGCAACCAAGGCUCCAAAGAAGCUUCGUUUUAGAUUUGGAGAUAGGUAAGCUUCUCCACGUGUCUUAUAGGUCACUGAAUCUUAUUUGCACUUUUGUUUCAUUCUAAUAACUUUUCUUUGGCAGAAUCCAUGUGUUGGAACUCGGUGUAGGAAUGUAUCUGUUUUCUAUCGGAUGCUAUGACGCGUUAUUUGGGAAGAAUCAUUAUUAUCUAUACCUUUUCGCGCAAGCAUUCGCCUUCUUCAUCGCUGGAUGUGGGCAGAUUGGGACAGUGGUGCCUAACUAUUGAAUGGAAAAUGGAUUGAUCGAGCUACAAACUGCUCGAGAAUAAGAUGAUGAUUUUAUAUUUUUUUCUUGGCUACUCUUUAAUUUCUUCCUGGUGUGAAUAGAGAGAAUUGAUGAUACGAUUGUUACAGAAGAUGGUGUGUGUAGUUGUGGAAGAUAUGGAUACCUAUAGUAAAGAAGAAUAUAUAUAUUUUCAAGGGGGGUUUUCAUAUUCCUCAAAGACAAUACAUCAUUUCUUGCAAGACAAAAGCUUUUGAUUCCAAUUUCUUUGUAUCAAAUUAUUGUAUUGUACAAAUAUGGAGGUACAUGAUAAAGGAAGUCAUAGUUUCCGAUGCUCCGCCGCCUUUCAAUAAUGCCUGAGAUCUGGUUUCCGCCAUAGUUUCCGAUCGCUUCGCCACCGUUUCCGAGGAAAGAAUGUCUCUGAUACCACUGAUAAAAGAAGUCACUCCUUUAUGAUCGAUCUAAUGUUCUUGAAACACCAAAUCGUAGCUCUCGAGUAAUAGAUCUAUAAGAGAGAAAGAUCUAAAUCCUCAAAUAACAAUCCAUGAAUCGAUAUUAGAAUUCCAGAGGUUUUUAAGAAAGUUUUACAAAUGAUUUCUGAAUGAACUGAAUAGAGUACGCAGACUCUGUUUUAUCUACUCCAAAAGAUGAACUCCUCCGAUCAGCUGGCGCGAAGCCGUUGUAACAAACUCUUAACUUCUCCCUUCCUCCACUAGUUACUCAACACGUGUCUCUUACUUCUCCUGUAUCAGUACACGAUAAUCACAUUCUAUGAAAUAGCUUGCAACAUGCAGGAUUUGAAAGAAUUGUCAUCUUUUGCAUCUUUUAUUCAAACAAACGUUGCCUUUGUGGUCGCUACUUCUAUAAUGUUUGAAGGUUUUCUUUCGAAUGAGAAAGAAUGAUAAAUUGUUUUCUUUAUUGCAUAUAGUGGGCCAUAUAGUGGUAACUGAACGUUUAUAUUGUUUGGUUUCUUCAGUUCAGUUGAAACAUAGUUUCUAGAUGACCAAAUUUUUAUGGGUUUGGACUAAAAAAAAAUUACUAAACCACCAUACACAGAAUAAAACUGGAUCUACAAAAAAAUUGCAAAUUUGCAAUCAUAUCAAAAAUGAUAUUAGUGUAAGUCUUUUUAAUCUAGAUUGGACAUGUAACAAGGUUCAGAAAAGGAAAAAAACAAUUUGCAGGCUGAACAGUGACUAAUUACAUAUACUUUGUGUGUUAAUAAUGUUUUUUUAAUACUAUUAAAUUAUGACUUUUGAAUGUAAGACUAAUUGGAGAGGGUAGAGAUGGGUCAUAUUAAAUUAAUACAUAUAUCUAAGAUUAAAACCUAUGAACGUAUUAUAAGAUAUCAUAAACUAAUAGCACAUGAGUUGAUCACUGUUUUAAGAGAAUCUUAUUUUACAGUAAUUUAAAAGCAUGGGUUUAUUUAUUUAAUAAGAAAAUUAUGUUUACAUAAAGAAAGUUUUUAUUACAUUAACAGAAGUGUCGGUGGGUGUUUUAUACUUUUAUUGAUAGGUCCCAAUAUAACCUAACCUAGCGGAUCUUGAUGUCGACGUAUCGAUUUUGUUCGUGAUCUUCGUGCUCUAGCUUUAAAAUUUUAAAUGUGGAGCCACUUUCUUUUGCAAAUAGUUUUUAUUAGUACUAACAAAUUAUUUUUGAAUGAUCUAGAGGCAUAUUCCAUAUAAUAUAGGCAAUAUCCCUUCUAACAAAUCCCAUAUUAAAUAGAAGAAAACAUUUCGGGAAAUAUAAGAAAACAUCAAGGAAUAUAAAGUUUAAUAUUUUGUUGUCCUUUGUGUUAGGUAUGCCUGCAGUAGGAGUUGGUAAAUAUUUGGUUUGUGUGUCUGGCUUUUUGUUGAUUUUUGAUGAAAAAUAUGCAUUGUCCACACAUUUUCAACAGAGUGAUGUUUUUCCACAUUAGUCAAUAGAUUGUCCACCAGUGAAUCUAUAACUUCUGGCAUUCAAAAGCUGCAGCGUAUUUAGCUUUGAACGAUCUAGCCUUCAUAAAAUAAACACCCGAAUUUUGAAGUAAUUUCUUCGAAUAAAAAAUAAGUUUUGCAUGCAAACAUUCAUCGACAUAUUAAUAUUUAGAAAACCAAAAUAUAAAUAAUCAGAUUAGAACAGAGCUUAGUGUUUAGUGGCGUUGCUUCACUGGCAUCGUGGUCGUGUCCCAUAAUUAGUGCAGAGAACAUAUAGGGAAGGGGCUUGUUUUGUCAUUUAGUAAAUAUAGUAUUAGGUAGAUCAGUCAUUUUUGUUAGUAGAUACGCCACGUGUACUUGCCAGCGCCCUCUAUCUUCCAUGUGCAAUAUCUGGGUCCCACACUGGUCUCUUCUCUACUAGUCUCUGUCACUCUCAUCACUCACUUUUCUUUUUCAAGUAAAAUUUGUUUGUUUUUUUUUACUUCCAGUACUAAUACAACCAGCUAUUGAAACUCGCUUUUAUUUUAUUAACGAUGUCUUUUAGUCUCACGAGCUAUUUUAUUUUAGACAAAAAAAAUAGUAAUAAUAAAAAGAAAUCAUGUGAACUUGUGAAGUAGAUCGACAAAAUCUAACGAGUUGUUGAAAUCUAAUUGGGGGAGAUCAGAAGAGUCUGAGCUGUCUAUAGUUUUUUUUUUUAGCUGUCUAUAGUUUGAUAAUUGAAAAUAUUUAUUUCAAUGUCACCAACUGGUUUUUAAUGUCUUCAUCAAUACCACAUUAAUUGAUUGUUUGCUACGCAAAUAUUAAUUGAAAUCCAUUAUUCAAUUUUUGUUCCUUCUAAUUUUGCAGUAAAUUCGGAUGAAUGUUUAAUGACAAGAAUGCAAGAAAUGUCGUUGGAUUAUCAUUUUACGGUCGAACAAGAAGUUGGUUCUUCUACAUACGCAUUCUUCGGUUUCAACGGUACUUACUUUGUUUCUUUUCAUUAUAUAUUGUUGUCUUAUUCAAGUUUCAUAACAUUUGCUUACUAUCAUUUUAGGGACUGCGGGAAUAUGGAGAAUAUCGGCAUUAAACGAAGCUGGUGGUUGGAAAGAUAGAACGACCGUAGAAGAUAUGGAUUUGGCCGUUCGAGCUAGUCUCAAGGGUUGGAAAUUUUUGUACCUUGGUUCUUUGAAGGUAUACUUUGCCUCUUCAUGAUUCAACAAUGUGUAUGUAUUAGUGGUUGAUAUGCAAAUAGUUUUAUUGAUACAUGUGGUUGUUAAAUAUUAUAGGUUAAAAACGAGUUACCAAGUACAUUCAAGGCGUAUAGGUAUCAACAGCACAGGUGGUCAUGUGGUCCAGCAAAUCUUUUCAGGAAAAUGGCAUUUGAAAUCAUGACCAACAAGGUUUUUACUUUAAACUCUUUUCUUCUCCCUCCACACUAAAAUAGAAAAAUGAACUGGUUAAUUCAGUAAGUUAACCAAUACUUACAUUCAACAUAUCAAACCCAAAAACGUUUCUCUAGUUUUGUAGUCUUGGUUGGUCUCCACAUUUAUUUAAGUUCCCGUUUAAAUAGAUUUUUUUUUCUUUUUGGCAGAACGUGACAUUAUGGAAGAAAGUUCAUGUGAUAUAUAGCUUCUUCGUGGUGAGAAAGAUCGUGGCACACAUUGUUACAUUCAUCUUCUAUUGUGUGGUCUUACCGGCUACGGUUCUUGUACCUGAAGUUAUUGUACCUAAAUGGGGAGCGGUUUACAUUCCGUCCAUCAUUACUCUCCUCAACGCCGUCGGUACACCUAGGUAAAUAAAUAUCCCAAAGAGUUUCUUACGGCUCAAGUGACGUCUCGUUUAGCCUCUCAUUGUUUGUUACACGUAUCUUAUAGGUCACUCCAUCUCAUGGUAUUUUGGAUUCUGUUCGAGAAUGUGAUGUCUCUUCACAGAACAAAAGCUACUUUCAUCGGUUUACUCGAAGGAGGAAGAGUUAACGAGUGGAUUGUCACUGAGAAGCUCGGUGAUCUCAAGGCUAAGUCAGCAACCAAGGCUCCAAAGAAGCUUCGUUUUAGAUUUGGAGAUAG